Long non-coding RNA from Dalotia coriaria, 406 nucleotides. RefSeq lists it as uncharacterized. The record is from RefSeq and is a predicted model, not a curated record. The transcript is spliced from 3 exons. NCBI's taxonomy places the organism in Eukaryota, Metazoa, Arthropoda, Insecta, Coleoptera, Staphylinidae.
CAAACUGUCGCGUCGUUCUGGCACGGCUACGGCGUGCGCUAUCGAUGGUUUGCAGCCAGUUUCGUGCCGGGCGCUGGCAUGUCCAGAAGUAUUUCGCGCGACGCGUAAUGUUUUAUCGGACUUUUGUGUUUUGUUAAUGAUUAAUUGUGCGUUUAAUGUCCGUAAAUGUUUUAUUGCUCGCGUUUGAUGUUUAUAUUUCAAAUUACAAGAAUGCUGCGGUUUAUUGUCGGUUAUUGUGUGACGUUGUGGGUCGCUGGAUCAAUUGAAUUCAUAUUGCUGCCAUGUUGUUCCCAGUUCUUACGAGGUGCUUUCGUGUUUGAUAUUUGCUGUGCCUAGGAUUCCGAUGAGUUCUGCAUUGCACUUCCUGUGCCCCAGUGACUAUUGCGCACAAAAACUCGUAAGUUUA